RNAcentral lists this long non-coding RNA (1200 nucleotides) under Canis lupus familiaris (dog). RNAcentral describes it as "lncRNA (ENSCAFG00030005987.1)". Lineage: Eukaryota; Metazoa; Chordata; Mammalia; Carnivora; Canidae. The record is from RNAcentral.
AUGAGAGGUCUGGGUCGAGGGCCGGCGGCUUCCCCGGCUCCUGCACCCCCGGACAGCCGGGCGGCCCUCUCGCCAGCGGGACCCAGCUCUGACCACGUCAGUCCCCACCAGCCCCGCUGCCGCGGUCGUGGGGAGAGGGGAGGGCAGGCUGGGGGGUCCGUCGCAGCCCACAGGGCGGGAGCCCAGGGCAGCCGGCCGAGCCCCGGGGCUCCAGAGCCCAGGCCCAGGCCCGCGCCGCUCCCCGCACUUACCGGACACCUCGGAGCCCGCAGCCGGAGCUCCGGUGGCCAGGCUGCGCCUGGAGGAAGGGAAGAAGGGACAAGGAGCCAAGACGUGGGGACAAAGUUCUCCGAAGUGAAGAGUUUACCAGGGAAGGGCUGCGGGGAAGGGGAAGGCCAGAGUGAGGACGCGGGAGACCGCGGAGCCGGGCGGACGCCGCCACCCCUGCGGCGCGGGUCGGGACCGGGGCUCCCGGGUCGGCGCGCCCAGCGCCAUCCCCGACCCCUCGCCAUCCCCUGGCGGCGGCCCAUCCCCAGCCUCCCGCACAACCGAGCCAAGCGGGGGUCGCAAGGCCCGAGGGCGGCGUUGGGCAGGGUGGGGGGCGCUCCUCCAGCCGGGACCGGCCUGGAGCGAACCACCGUCCCGGGGCCCGCGUGUGCCCCGCGUGCGUCGCCGUGUGUGUGUGUGUGUGUGUGUGUGUGUGUGUGUGUGUGUGAGAGAGAGAGAGAGAGAGAGAGAGAGAGAGCCGGCGUGGGUCCCCCAGUGCGGGCGCAGGCCUGUUCCCUGGGGAUGCGCACUGGCGUGGGUCCCCCGGUGCGGGCGCAGGCCUGUUCCCUGGGGAUGCGCACUGGCGUGGGAGGCUCCCGGCGCUGGAGGGAUCUUGCCCCCGGGUCGCGGAGGAUCGCCAGGGGCCCGCGGGCCGCGGGGGGCCGCAAAGGAGCCCGCGGGCUGCGCGGCGCCGCGGGGCGGGCAGGGGCGGGCCGGACGGCCUCGGGACCCCGUGCGCUCCUCCUGAGCUCGCGGGCGCCGGCUCUGCCGGUCGCGGCGGGUCGGGACGGCGGGCGGCGGGCUGAGACGCGGCCAGGGCUUGCCCGCCCCGAGCCUCUGGAGGUCCCGGCCUCCUCCCGUGCGCUGUCGGCUCUGCCCUGCGUGCGUCCCGGGCCGACUGGCGCUCAAAUAAUGGGUUGGUGCCUGGAUUGA